RNAcentral lists this long non-coding RNA (3901 nucleotides) under Macaca mulatta (Rhesus monkey). Its description in RNAcentral is "lncRNA (ENSMMUG00000056765.1)". The record is from RNAcentral. Lineage: Eukaryota; Metazoa; Chordata; Mammalia; Primates; Cercopithecidae.
AUGCCAAACAACAUCCAUCCCCAUCUUCUGCAUCAGAUGAGUCCCUGCCAGUCUCAAAGUUGCGGUUCACUGCCAUCGCACAGCUUUCCUUCUCAUCUCUUACCCUUGAGGCCAGACGGAAAAGAGAAAGAAGAAAAAUUACCCAACUUUCUCCGUGUCUCAGGUGGGAUAGAAAUGCGAACACCUCUGCCUUCAGUGACUCUAUUUUUAUACCAAAUGGCUAAUCAAGGGUCUUCUCUGAACAAAGAUAGUGUUUUCUUUUUCUCCAGAAGGCACUUUGGUACUGGUGAGGGAGUGUAUCAGUCCAUUCUGACUCUGCUCUAAAGAACACCUGAGACUGGGUAGUUUAUGAAGAAGGGGAGUUUAGUUGACUCACAUUUCUGCAGCUUGUACAGGAGGCAUGGCUGGGAGGCCUCAGUAUACUUACAAUCAUGGUGGAUGGCAAAGGGGAAGCAAACAUGUCUUCCCCUGGCUGCAGGAGAGAAAGAGCUAAGGGGGAGAUGCUACACACUUUUAGACAAACAGAUCUCAUGAGAACUCACUCACAAGACAGUACUUAAGGGAUGGUGCUAAACCAUUAGAAACCACCCCCAAGAUCCCAUCACCUCCCACCAGCCCCCCACACCCAGCCCCAACACUUGGGAUCACAAUUCAACAUGAAAUUUGGGUGGGGACAUAGAGCCAAACCGUAUCAGGUAGUAUAUUAUUCAACUCUUUACACAUUGUUGAAAAAGAGAAUUUGUGAUAUUGCCUUGCCUCCCUUUUUAGAUAGGUAAAAAAUGCCGCCUUCUUGUAUUUUUAUACUCUAGCCAGGUAUGCUGCUUUAGUUCAGUUCCAUUUAAGAUUCUGUGGCAGAUAUGCCUGAAUCUCCUUGCUUGGCUAAUUCUUACAUAUUCUUCAAAUCUCAGCUUAAAUUUUACUUCCCAAGAAGAUUAUUAAUGUACACUUUCAUAUUAUAUGACCUUUCAUUACCUUCACCAUUUUUUAAUUAUUUCUUUCAUGCUGGAACAUAAACUCCAUGAGGAAAAGCUCUUGUGUACUCCAGAUCCCAGUGCCUGUUACCAAGCAGCCAUCCAGUUUAAUGGUAAUAGAUUAAUCAGUUUCAAUUGAAUUGAAAGAGAGAGGACUAUUAAUAGAAGAAAGAACAUGUUGGAUAGUUAGAAACGUCAUCUUUACUUCAUAGUUUCUGGUGAAACGUUUUUUAAAGAUUCUAUUCCAAAGAAAAUUGUAAAACAAAAAUGAAAUGGAGAACUGGUGAUGUUUGUAAAAGAGAGAAAGUAAACGGAACACUGUUAGCAGAAGUAGGGUAAAGGAUUUUUGUUAGUAGAUUGCCAAAUACCAACAAUUUUCUCCUCCAAGUGAAGGUCUUAUUUUUGAAUGCACAAAAGCUUGUUUCUCUUUCAAUUAGUAGCCUUUUCUCAUCUCUAUUUUGACCAACAGUUUCUUAUAAUUUGGACACUAUGGGGCCUCAGAAACUAUCAUUCCAAGUUCUAAGACCCUUGUGAUAGAGGUUUCCUAGGUGGUCAGGCAGAGAAGAGAGAAUAUGAAGGAAUUUAUAGUAUUUAAAAUUCUGCAAAUCUAACAACUUCAUAAGUAACACUUCUAUACUACCAGUAGCCUUCCUAGCUAUAGCACGGCUUCAUGAAAAUUAUGCCUUGGGCAAAUUAUUCUAGAGAUUUGAACACUGUAGCAAAUAGCUGAGAUGAAAGAAAACUGAAUAGAACAUUUGUUUCCCUCUGGCUUAUAAUGAGUGGGUGGUCAUCAUAAAUAAUAUUCAUUUCCUUUAACCAAGUAUCUCUUUCAUCUAACACAUAUUAAUGGUUACUGAUACUUUGACUUUGCCACUAAAUUCUAAGCAUUAACAUCACACAUUAGAAAACAUUUCCAUUUCAAUUCUUCAAGGUUAUUAGCUUCCUUGUUUCAUUUAUACACCUUGCAUAUUUCAAAAUAACAUCUGACUUCUUGUUAAUGAUAAAUUAAGCAUUGAAAAUUGGCCCAAAUAAAUCUAGAAAUAACAGGAAACUUUCUUCCUGGAAAGCAACUAUGGAAGUAUACCGCUGGUGUGCCAGAAUUGGAGGAAAGGAAAACAUACGCAAGAUAUACUGCAAGAGAGCCAAGAAUAAACUAAACGGCUCCUCACUAGUGAAAGGAUACAAAAAUGUCCCUAACUAUUUUUAAUGGUUAUAAUAAUAGUUUUAAUAAUAAAUAUAGUUUUAAUUCUACCAGAAAGGGGAUUAGACAAAUGGAGCAGUAGCAGGAGGUAAAAUGGGAUCAAGAGAAGACUCAUGCGGCCUGGCAUGGUGGCUCACGCCUGUAAUCCCAGCACUUUGGGAGGCCAAGGAGGGCAGAUCACGAGGUCAGGAGAUCGAGGUCAUCCUGGCUAAGAGGGUGAAACCCUGUCUCUACUUAAAAAUACAAAAAAUUAUCCGGCAUGGUGGCGGGUGCCUGUAGUCCCAGCUACUCAGCAGGCUGAGGCAGGAGAAUGGCAUGAACCCAGGAGGCGGAGCUUGCAGUGAGCCGAGAUCACGCCACUGCACUCCAGCCUGGGCAACAGAGCGAGACUCCAUCUCAAAAGAAAAAAAAAAAAAGGCUCAUGCAAACGAUCCAUUAGUAAAGGAUAAAAAUGUGAUGCAAGAGAGAAAGAGGGAAAUAGUGGGAAAAAAUGUUUUUGACAAGGGGAAAAAAGGAUACAAUCUACUGUGUAUGUGGAUAAUCUGGACUUUGAUAGGCUUAUGGGCAGUUCAUUCAUUGUACAUGUGGGAAAUCUGAGCGUAGAGCUUGCUAAAAAUCAAUUUUAGCCUAAAGCUCCCUCCUUAUGUAUUUUAAAUUGAGCCUAAGGGUUUCUCUGCACAGAGUGAACUAUGACCUAAGUGGUAGUGUAUACCAACUGUAAUCUACUCUUGUGCCAAUCACCAAGUUUUGGCCAAUCAAAGGGAGUCAACUAUUCAAAUCAUGUUGUGUUAAGGCAAAUGCCAAAGCUGUAACAAAUCUGGCUGUUUUUUCUGUACCUCACUUCCAUUUUGUGUAAGUCACUUUCCUUUGUCUGUCCAUAAAUCUUUUUCUACCACGUGGCUGUGCUGGUCUCUCUGAGCCUACUCUGUCUUGGGAGGCUGUCUGAUUUGCAAAUCCUUUGCUGAAUUAGACUGUGUUACAUUUAAUUUGGCUAAAGUUUUUCUUUUAACAGGUUUCAGGGACCAAUAGGGUGAUAAUUGUGGUGAGAGCCUAUAGGCAGUCUUUUCUCAUUUCAAUUUUUGGCAAAUAAAAAGAGAAAAAGCAUUGGGUGUUUUAAAAAAACGUGGUAUGAGGUAGUUGAGUAUGACAGUGGGAAAGUGAAAAAAGGUGGAAAAUAUUAGAACAAGUUAAAAUAAUGAGACGUGUGUGCGUGUGUGUAAAGAAAAAUAAAACUCAAAAAUUAUAAAAUUAAGUGAAUAAAGCAAGGUGCAAUAAAGCAAGAUUGUAGAGUAUCACAGCAUUUAUCUAAAUUUAAAAUAUUAAUCCAAGUUUAUAUAAAUAUGUCUGCAAGGCACACACAAAAAGGUGGACCACAAGAAUACCAACCAAAAUAUUAGUAGUGAUUGACUGACUUAGCAGCAGCAGAGACCUUGCAGGUGGAGAGAAGGUGAAGGUGCAGGUAGGUGCCUAAGGGGAUUUGCUUCAUGUAAAAAAGAAAACCAUUUUACUGAAAUGUUUUCUUUCUUUAAAAAAAGGCUUGUAGCAAAAAUGACAAAGAUGAACAUCUAUUAAUAAUGAUGGCAGAGACUGAAGUAUUGAGAUAUAAUCUAUAAUAUAUAUUGGCUAUUUUUUCAAAACAAAAUGCAUAUAAAAUGGAAAGAAAAGUUAAUAGAGAUACAAGAAAAUCCCCAAAUUUUACACUGACUCCUCAAUGUUAAAAAUAUCCAAG